GAUGAAGAACGCAGCAAAAUGCGAUAAGUAAUGUGAAUUGCAGAAUUCAGUGAGUCAUCGAAUCUUUGAACGCACAUUGCGCCCUGUGAUAUUCCGCAGGGCAUGCCUGUUCGAGCGUCAUUUCAACCCUCAAGCUCUGCUUGGUGUUGGGCCCUGCCCGCUGCGGCCGGCCCUAAAGACAGUGGCGGUGCCGCCUGGCCCUGAGCGUAGUACAUCUCUCGCUCCAGUGCCCGGUGGUAGCCUGCCAGAACCCCAACUCUCGUGGUUGACCUCGGAUCAGGUAGGGAUACCCGCUGAACUUAAGCAUAUCAAUAAGCGGAGGA
RNAcentral lists this unclassified non-coding RNA (323 nucleotides) under soil metagenome. Its description in RNAcentral is "partial contains 5.8S ribosomal RNA, internal transcribed spacer 2, and large subunit ribosomal RNA". The stretch from base 1 to 120 matches the Rfam family "5.8S ribosomal RNA", at positions 35 to 154 of the family's 154-position model. The record is from RNAcentral.